GCCCCGUUCGUCUAGAGGUCAGGACACCAGAUUUUCAUUCUGGCGGCAGGGGUUCGAUUCCCCUACGGGGUACCA
Molecule: transfer RNA, 75 nt
Filed under: Armatimonadota bacterium
Lineage: Bacteria; Bacillati; Armatimonadota
Description: Armatimonadetes bacterium (anaerobic digester metagenome) tRNA-Glu
Rfam family: tRNA
About the family: Transfer RNA (tRNA) molecules are approximately 80 nucleotides in length. Their secondary structure includes four short double-helical elements and three loops (D, anti-codon, and T loops).
Source: RNAcentral